Molecule: ribosomal RNA, 254 nt
Filed under: uncultured bacterium
Lineage: Bacteria
Description: partial 16S ribosomal RNA
Rfam family: Bacterial small subunit ribosomal RNA
Source: RNAcentral
UACGUAGGGUGCAAGCGUUGUCCGGAAUUAUUGGGCGUAAAGAGCUCGUAGGCGGUGUGUCGCGUCGGCCGUGAAAACCUGCAGCUUAACUGUGGGCUUGCGGUCGAUACGGGCAUCACUGGAGUUCGGCAGGGGAGACUGGAAUUCCUGGUGUAGCGGUGAAAUGCGCAGAUAUCGGGAGGAACACCGGUGGCGAAGGCGGGUCUCUGGGCCGAUACUGACGCUGAGGAGCGAAAGCGUGGGGAGCGAACAGG